This 420-nucleotide long non-coding RNA is filed under the name Androctonus crassicauda. Lineage: Eukaryota; Metazoa; Arthropoda; Arachnida; Scorpiones; Buthidae. The record is from RNAcentral.
GGCAGCAGUCUACAUUGAGCGACAGUGCGGGUAUACAACGUUCAUUCAUUUCAGUCUUGUAAGUCUGAUUAUUUCCUCAUACGUAAUUUUAUUUAAAAAUAAAGUGAAUAAUUUUUAAUUUUUGUUAGAAUGAGUACAAAACGAAAGAGCUAUUCCGUCGAGUACAAAAAGGGAAUUGUGGAAGACUCCAGGGGUGUAAAUCUUGUAGCAUUCUGUAAAGAGAAAAUGCUGGAUCUCUGUAUGGUUCGUAAAUGGCAUGCAGACUAUGAUUACCUGUGUCAACUGGUGGACCAAGGAAAUGAGAAAAAAUGCAGAGUUGGAUCAGGUCGGCAGCCGUUAUUUUCUGAGUUGGAAGAUUGCAUCUGGGAAUGGAUUGCAGGCAGGAGAGCAAUGGCUUUGGUUGUGCGCAGGGCUGAUAUU